CCUACGGGUGGCUGCAGUGGGGAAUAUUGGACAAUGGGGGGAACCCUGAUCCAGCCAUGCCGCGUGUGUGAAGAAGGCCCUCGGGUUGUAAAGCACUUUCAGUGAGGAAGAACACCUGGUGGUUAAUACCCAUCAGGAAAGACAUCACUCACAGAAGAAGCACCGGCUAACUCCGUGCCAGCAGCCGCGGUAAUACGGAGGGUGCGAGCGUUAAUCGGAAUUACUGGGCGUAAAGCGCGCGUAGGUGGCUUGAUAAGCCGGUUGUGAAAGCCCCGGGCUCAACCUGGGAACGGCAUCCGGAACUGUCAAGCUAGAGUGCAGGAGAGGAAGGUAGAAGUCCCGGUGUAGCGGUGAAAUGCGUAGAGAUUGGGAGGAAUACCAGUGGCGAAGGCGGCCUUCUGGACUGACACUGACACUGAGGUGCGAAAGCGUGGGUAGCAAACAGGAUUAGAUACCCUGGUAGUC
Molecule: ribosomal RNA, 465 nt
Filed under: Vreelandella stevensii
Lineage: Bacteria; Pseudomonadati; Pseudomonadota; Gammaproteobacteria; Oceanospirillales; Halomonadaceae
Description: partial 16S ribosomal RNA
Rfam family: Bacterial small subunit ribosomal RNA
Source: RNAcentral